This 337-nucleotide unclassified non-coding RNA is filed under the name soil metagenome. Its description in RNAcentral is "partial contains 5.8S ribosomal RNA, internal transcribed spacer 2, and large subunit ribosomal RNA". The stretch from base 1 to 120 matches the Rfam family "5.8S ribosomal RNA", at positions 35 to 154 of the family's 154-position model. The record is from RNAcentral.
GAUGAAGAACGUAGCGAAAUGCGAUAAGUAGUGUGAAUUGCAGAAUUCAGUGAAUCAUCGAAUCUUUGAACGCACAUUGCGCCCCUUGGUAUUCCAUGGGGCAUGCCUGUUCGAGCGUCAUUUGUACCUUCAAGCUCUGCUUGGUGUUGGGUGUUUGUCUCGCCUCUGCGCGUAGACUCGCCUCAAAACAAUUGGCAGCCGGCGUAUUGAUUUCGGAGCGCAGUACAUCUCGCGCUUUGCACUCAUAACGACGACGUCCAAAAGUACAUUUUUACACUCUUGACCUCGGAUCAGGUAGGGAUACCCGCUGAACUUAAGCAUAUCAAUAAGCGGAGGA